UACGUAGGGGGCUAGCGUUGUCCGGAUUUAUUGGGCGUAAAGAGCGUGUAGGCGGCCAGGUAGGUCUGGUGUGAAAACUCGAGGCUCAACCUCGAGAGGUCGGUGGAAACCGUUUGGCUAGAGUCCGGAAGAGGAGAGUGGAAUUCCCGGUGUAGCGGUGAAAUGCGCAGAUAUCGGGAAGAACACCCGUGGCGAAGGCGGCUCUCUGGGACGGUACUGACGCUGAGACGCGAAAGCGUGGGGAGCGAACAGG
RNAcentral lists this ribosomal RNA (253 nucleotides) under uncultured bacterium. RNAcentral describes it as "partial 16S ribosomal RNA". It matches the Rfam family "Bacterial small subunit ribosomal RNA", at positions 524 to 776 of the family's 1533-position model. The record is from RNAcentral.